ACCUCCUACGGGAGGCAGCAGUGGGGAAUAUUGCACAAUGGGCGCAAGCCUGAUGCAGCCAUGCCGCGUGUAUGAAGAAGGCCUUCGGGGUUUGAUAAAGUACUUUCAGCAGUGAGGAAGGUGGGUAUGUUAAUAGCAUACUCAUUUGACGUUAGCUGCAGAAGAAGCACCGGCUAACUCCGUGCCAGCAGCCGCGGUAAUACGGAGGGUGCGAGCGUUAAUCGGAAUUACUGGGCGUAAAGCGCAUGCAGGUGGUUUGUUAAGUCAGAUGUGAAAGCCCGGGGCUCAACCUCGGAAUUGCAUUUGAAACUGGCAAACUAGAGUACUGUAGAGGGGGGUAGAAUUUCAGGUGUAGCGGUG
Molecule: ribosomal RNA, 360 nt
Filed under: uncultured bacterium
Lineage: Bacteria
Description: bacterial SSU rRNA
Rfam family: Bacterial small subunit ribosomal RNA
Source: RNAcentral